GCUGUAGCUCAAGGGUUGGACGCCUGUUUGGCAUGCAGGAGGUCGUGGGUUCAAUCCCCCGGCAUCUCCG
This is a non-coding RNA of Podarcis lilfordi (Lilford's wall lizard), 70 nucleotides long. Lineage: Eukaryota; Metazoa; Chordata; Lepidosauria; Squamata; Lacertidae. The record is from the annotation of a GenBank genome assembly.